This 95-nucleotide non-coding RNA is filed under the name uncultured Ruminococcus sp. RNAcentral describes it as "TPP riboswitch (THI element)". It matches the Rfam family "TPP riboswitch aptamer (THI element)", at positions 10 to 89 of the family's 105-position model. From Rfam's summary of the family: Vitamin B(1) in its active form thiamin pyrophosphate (TPP) is an essential coenzyme that is synthesised by coupling of pyrimidine and thiazole moieties in bacteria. The previously detected thiamin-regulatory element, thi box was extended, resulting in a new, highly conserved RNA secondary structure, the THI element, which is widely distributed in eubacteria and also occurs in some archaea. The record is from RNAcentral. Lineage: Bacteria; Bacillati; Bacillota; Clostridia; Eubacteriales; Oscillospiraceae.
UACAGGGGUGCUGACGCAAAAGUCGGCUGAGAUUGGGAUGGAAGUUUCCCUGACCCUCGAACCUGAUACGGAUAAUGCCGUCGUAGGGAGCAGGA